AGUAACACGUGGGCAACCUGCCUAUAAGACUGGGAUAACUUCGGGAAAGUGAGCUAAUACCGGAUACGUUCUUUUCUCGCAUGAGAGAAGAUGGAAAGACGGUUUACGCUGUCACUUAUAGAUGGGCCCGCGGCGCAUUAGCUAGUUGGUGAGGUAAUGGCUCACCAAGCGACGAUGCGUAGCCGACCUGAGAGGUGACCGGCCACACUGGGACUGAGACACGGCCCAGACUCCUACGGGAGGCAGCAGUAGGGAAUCUUCCGCAAUGGACGAAAGUCUGACGGAGCAACGCCGCGUGAACGAAGAAGGCCUUCGGGUCGUAAAGUUCUGUUGUUAGGGAAGAACAAGUACCAGAGUAACUGCUGGUACCUUGACGGUACCUAACCAGAAAGCCACGGCUAACUACGUGCCAGCAGCCGCGGUAAUACGUAGGUGGCAAGCGUGUCCGGAAUUAUUGGGCGUAAAGCGCGCGCAGUGGUUCCUUAAGUCUGAUGUGAAAGCCCACGGCUCAACCGUGGAGGGUCAUUGGAAACUGGGGAACUUGAGUGCAGAAGAGGAAAGUGGAAUUCCAAGUGUAGCGGUGAAAUGCGUAGAGAUUUGGAGGAACACCAGUGGCGAAGGCGACUUUCUGGUCUGUAACUGACACUGAGGCGCGAAAGCGUGGGGAGCAAACAGGAUUAGAUACCUGGUAGUCCACGCCGUAAACGAUGA
RNAcentral lists this ribosomal RNA (711 nucleotides) under bacterium MS-AsIII-24. RNAcentral describes it as "bacterial SSU rRNA". It matches the Rfam family "Bacterial small subunit ribosomal RNA", at positions 109 to 812 of the family's 1533-position model. The record is from RNAcentral.